RNAcentral lists this ribosomal RNA (252 nucleotides) under uncultured bacterium. RNAcentral's name for it is "partial 16S ribosomal RNA". It matches the Rfam family "Bacterial small subunit ribosomal RNA", at positions 524 to 776 of the family's 1533-position model. The record is from RNAcentral.
UACGUAGGGUGCGAGCGUUGUCCGGAAUUAUUGGGCGUAAAGAGCUCGUAGGCGGUCUGUCGCGUCGGAUGUGAAAAUCCAGGGCUCAACCCUGGACCUGCAUUCGAUACGGGCAGACUAGAGUUCGGUAGGGGAGACUGGAAUUCCUGGUGUAGCGGUGAAAUGCGCAGAUAUCAGGUGGAACACCAGUGGCGAAGGCGGCUUCUGGACGGUAACUGACGCUGAGACGCGAAAGCGUGGGGAGCAAACAGG